AGGGGUGUAGCUCAGUAGCGGAGCAUGUGUUUGGCACGCGUGAGGUCCCGGGUUCAAUCCCCAGCCCCUCCA
Molecule: transfer RNA, 72 nt
Filed under: Camelus dromedarius (Arabian camel)
Lineage: Eukaryota; Metazoa; Chordata; Mammalia; Artiodactyla; Camelidae
Also listed under: 1 other name
Rfam family: tRNA
About the family: Transfer RNA (tRNA) molecules are approximately 80 nucleotides in length. Their secondary structure includes four short double-helical elements and three loops (D, anti-codon, and T loops).
Source: Rfam by way of RNAcentral